AUUGAACGCUGGCGGCAGGCCUAACACAUGCAAGUCGAGCGGAUGAAGGGAGCUUGCUCCUGGAUUCAGCGGCGGACGGGUGAGUAAUGCCUAGGAAUCUGCCUGGUAGUGGGGGAUAACGUCCUGAAACGGGCGCUAAUACCGCAUACGUCCUGAGGGAGAAAGUGGGGGAUCUUCGGACCUCACGCUAUCAGAUGAGCCUAGGUCGGAUUAGCUAGUUGGUGGGGUAAAGGCCUACCAAGGCGACGAUCCGUAACUGGUCUGAGAGGAUGAUCAGUCACACUGGAACUGAGACACGGUCCAGACUCCUACGGGAGGCAGCAGUGGGGAAUAUUGGACGAUGGGCGAAAGCCUGAUCCAGCCAUGCCGCGUGUGUGAAGAAGGUCUUCGGAUUGUAAAGCACUUUAAGUUGGGAGGAAGGGCAGUAAGUUAAUAACUUGCUGUUUUGACGUUACCAACAGAAUAAGCACCGGCUAACUUCGUG
Molecule: ribosomal RNA, 484 nt
Filed under: uncultured bacterium
Lineage: Bacteria
Description: partial 16S ribosomal RNA
Rfam family: Bacterial small subunit ribosomal RNA
Source: RNAcentral